RNAcentral lists this ribosomal RNA (384 nucleotides) under uncultured bacterium. Its description in RNAcentral is "bacterial SSU rRNA". It matches the Rfam family "Bacterial small subunit ribosomal RNA", at positions 28 to 413 of the family's 1533-position model. The record is from RNAcentral.
GACGAACGCUGGCGGCGUGCUUAACACAUGCAAGUCGAGCGGUAAGGCCCUUUCGGGGGUACACGAGCGGCGAACGGGUGAGUAACACGUGGGUGACCUGCCCUCAGCUCUGGGAUAAGCCUGGGAAACUGGGUCUAAUACCGGAUAUGACCCCAUGACGCAUGUCGUGGGGUGGAAAGCCUUGUGCGGCUGAGGAUGGGCCCGCGGCCUAUCAGCUUGUUGGUGGGGUGAUGGCCUACCAAGGCGACGACGGGUAGCCGGCCUGAGAGGGCGACCGGCCACACUGGGACUGAGACACGGCCCAGACUCCUACGGGAGGCAGCAGUGGGGAAUCUUGCGCAAUGGGCGAAAGCCUGACGCAGCGACGCCGCGUGAGGGAUGACG